Molecule: non-coding RNA, 217 nt
Organism: Pelobates cultripes (western spadefoot toad)
Lineage: Eukaryota; Metazoa; Chordata; Amphibia; Anura; Pelobatidae
Source: the annotation of a GenBank genome assembly
GAGAGGGGGUGACUAGUGACCGAGUGAGGGAGGGAGUGGGUGACUAGUGACAGAGUGAGGAAGGGGGUGACACAGUGAUAGUCACCCCAUUCCUCCCUCUGUCACUAAUCACCACCUCCCUCACCUCACUAGUCUCACUCUGUCACUAGUCACACCCUCCCUCUCUCUGUCACUAGUCACACCCUUACUCACUGUCACUAGUCACACCCUCCCUCUC